CUUGCAUACUGUAUGGUGUCUUUUUCCACUUUUCUGCAUGACGGUCGAAUGGUUUCGUUUUGGAGUUACCAGCACCCUGCGGUGACUAGUGGUGUAAAGGUGAUAUGGAGACAUGUUAAGUGCAGUGAACAGCACCGCACCCCACCCAGGAAACACAACUAAAUCCCGCAUGUAAUAUGGAGUGGGAGAGAAAUCUCAAGCGCCGUGCGUUAGAAUCUUAUCAAAACACUACGGUUCCAAAGGAAAAGGAAUAAAAUGAGAAGAAAGAAAGAAAGAAAGAAGAAGAAGAAGAUUGACUCACCAGACAUUUUUGGCGUGAAGAGCAGCAGGACCCAGUGAAACACCCCAAAGCGCCUGUUCUUGGCUCUAUUAUAUGGGCAAGAACGAAAUAUUGAUAAAAGUGCCACAAAGUCUCAAUCUAUCACCUUCACAACACUCUCACUAUAUACAAUUAUGCAGUAAUAUAGCCAGGGAAGCAUUAGUUUGAGUUUUUCUGCCCUCAUCCCUACUAUUUAAAGUCCCAAGAACUCAAUGAUUUGACAAUCAUUUGAUUGCGCGAUACUUUCAAUUUGAAUAUUCAAAGACUUCGCAAAAAUACUUAUAUCUUAGCUAUAUUCGCCAUCAGAGCGCAUGUAAGAGUGUCCACUUUAAUAGAAUAUUACAUCAUUUCACAAUUUGACACAAAAAUAAAAAUAUAUUUUUGACAUUUUAUCACCCUUUUGAUAUUGAUGCCAAGAGGCUGGCUGUGAAGCUCUCUUUGCACUUUACAGUGUCAUUUAACGAGCAAAUGUCACUUCAAACAUCACACAACACUAUACAUAUAUCAUACAGUGAAAAUGUAUGUUAAAAAAAAAUAAGAAAUUACAUAUUCUGUGGCUUGACUGUAGACCAUUUUUACAGAAAUGUAGACAUGGUGGGCGUGGCAUAUAGUGGCAGCCAUUUUGACCAUCAGAGCAUGGAGAGCUUGUGCUCUGGCAUGAACUUAACACUUGUUAACACUUCUAGAAUGAAUAUUAUUGUAGUAAUGAUCAUAUGUAACUGAAUUCUGGCAAAUCUGCAAGUAUUUUGCAGACAUUUUUUGUAAUCUUUAUUCCAUAUAACAAAUAUUAAAUAAAUAAAUAAAUAAAAAGUCGAAUGUUGUUGCAAUACAGAUAAUAUCAUAUGAUAUUUUGUUACACUAUUUAUAUUUUACAUACUGUAGGAUUGUGAAAAUUAAAGAAAGAGAACGUAAAAAAAUAAAAAUAAUAAUAAUAAAAAAUGUCCAUAGUUCAUCCUAGUAUUUUUGAAAUGAUUAUUUUUGUAUUGUUCUGCAAUGAAAAGUCCAUUAGAGUCUAAAGCUUUCCACAUGAACCCUUAUAUCAUAUGUUAAUAUUAUCCAAUUAAUUAACUUUUAAUUAAGAUUUUCAAUAUAAGACCAAACAUUUCAAACUUAAAUGUGUACAAAAAAUUUUAUAAUUUAUAUAUGAACAUUUACUAUGUGUGUGUUUUUUUUUUAGUUUUUUUUUUUUACGUUUGUCGUUUUAUUGUUUUAUUUGAUUCAUAUUUUGUAAUUAUUUGUCUUGGACCGUGAUUUAUCUUUAUAAGCAGCGCGGAUGCCAGACAUUUGCGUAUCACACUUUUUAUGUUUUGUGCACAUGAACCGCACAUAUAUAUAUAUAUAUAU
This is a long non-coding RNA of Tachysurus fulvidraco (yellow catfish), 1663 nucleotides long. RefSeq lists it as uncharacterized. Lineage: Eukaryota; Metazoa; Chordata; Actinopteri; Siluriformes; Bagridae. The transcript has 3 exons. The record is from RefSeq and is a predicted model, not a curated record.